This 497-nucleotide ribosomal RNA is filed under the name uncultured bacterium. RNAcentral describes it as "partial 16S ribosomal RNA". It matches the Rfam family "Bacterial small subunit ribosomal RNA", at positions 28 to 507 of the family's 1533-position model. The record is from RNAcentral.
GAUGAACGCUGGCGGCGUGCCUAAUACAUGCAAGUCGAGCGAACAGACGAGGUCCUUGCUCCUCUGAGGUUAGCGGCGGACGGGUGAGUAGCACGUGGAUAGCCUACCUCUCCGACUGGGAUAACAACGGGAAACAGGAGCUACUAACGGAUAAUAUAUUGAACCUCAUGGUUCAAUGGUGAAAGACGGUUUUGCCGUCACUUAUAGAUGGAUCCGCGCCGCAUUAGCUAGUUGGUAAGGUGACGGCUUACCAAGGCAACGAUGCGUAGCCGACCUGAGAGGGUGGUCGGCCACGCUGGAUCUGAGACGCGGUCCAGACUCCGACGCGAGGCAGCGGUACAGACUCUUCCGCUAUGCACGAAGGCCUGACGGAGCACCGCCGCGUGAGGGAUGAAGGUCUUCGGAUCGUAAAGCGCUGUUAUUAGGGAAGAACAAAUGUGUAAGUAACUGUGCGCGUCUUGACGGUACCUGAACAGAAAGCCCCGGCUAACUACGUG